RNAcentral lists this ribosomal RNA (486 nucleotides) under uncultured bacterium. RNAcentral describes it as "bacterial SSU rRNA". It matches the Rfam family "Bacterial small subunit ribosomal RNA", at positions 28 to 509 of the family's 1533-position model. The record is from RNAcentral.
GAUGAACGCUAGCGGCAGGCCUAACACAUGCAAGUCGAGGGGCAGCACAGGUAGCAAUACUGGGUGGCGACCGGCGGAUGGGUGCGUAACGCGUAUGCAACCUACCAUUGAUUGGGGCAUAGCCCGAAGAAAUUCGGAUUAAUACUCCAUAAUAUUCCAUCAAAGGCAUCUUUUAUGAAUUAAAGCUUUUGCGAUCAAUGAUGGGCAUGCGUGACAUUAGUUAGUUGGUGAGGUAACGGCUCACCAAAACGAUGAUGUCUAGGGGUUCUGAGAGGAUUAUCCCCCACACUGGUACUGAGACACGGACCAGACUCCUACGGGAGGCAGCAAUGAGGAAUAUUGGUCAAUGGACGCAAGUCUGAACCAGCCAUGCCGCGUGCAGGAUGACGGCCCUAUGGGUUGUAAACUGCUUUUCCACGGGAAGAACCCUCCGACGUGUCGGAGACUGACGGUACCGUGGGAAUAAGCAUCGGCUAACUCCGUGCC